GUCUCCAUGCUACCUCAUGGGUCCCAUGUGCAAAUUCAGAGGGAGUUAGAAUGAAACCUGCAGUGGAAAUUCAGGCUCUGACGUCAGCAACCUCGUUUUGCAAAAGCUCCAGUUGGCCACCUUGGUUCCAACUGAUUUCAGCCGGCUUUUCUUGAUCUCACAAGCAGAGGGAGUUUCAGUGUUUCAGCGAGUUGGUUUUUUUCUUAUCUGCUACUCUGCAAACACAAGAAUUUCUGUUAGCUACUAGUUUCUUACUCUUUGGAGUGCCGUUUCAGUUUCAGCUUUUCACCAAGUUGUUUCUUAUCCGCUACCCUGUAAGCCCAAGAAUUUAGUCAUUGGUUUCUUUAACGGUUGGAGGAGGCAGGGUGUCAGCACCCAUCUGCCCCCAGUAGUGGGGACAAUUGACCUUAGUCUUAUGUGAAGUGCCAGUAAGAUGCAGCUUAGCCCCCUCACUCCAUAGACAAUGCACUGGACUGUCUCUGCCACAGCCCAGGACUGCGUCUUGGCAUCCCUGACCAUUUCAACCCCCAUUUUAGUGUUCUUUCCUCCUCACUGCCAGAAAGCCAUUUUAGGCAGCUUGUGGGUGUUUUUUAGAAGCGAUGUGUGUGUGAGAUGAAGGAGGCUUCCCUUUGUUUUGGCUUUAAACCUGUCUGUGUAAGUGAGAGUGAGUGGAAAGCUAUGGCUCCUCUCUCCAACACUCCCAAGGCAGGCAGCCCUGACCUCCUCAAUUGCAGAUCAGAAGGGGGCCUUUGGAAAUUAUCCAGACCAGUGAAUCUCACCAUUUUUCUCCCCUGCCACAUCAUACAUGAUGGAUGAAGUCCACAUGCUUAACAGGAUUCCAUGCAUGCACUUAUUUUGAUGGAACAGCCAAAAACAUUCUGUGAGGAAGUAAUUGUCCUCAGGAAAGGGAAUAAUGGUUGCCUCGGCAUGGGGUGGAGGCCCCUGAGUGUACUCUGCCAUGAGACCCCUUCCUUCCCACUCAGGAUGUAUUUCGAAUGCAGGAGCACCCAGGGAGCAAGAGAAGCCCUGAGACAGCAGCAAGGGACACUGUGGGGCUGCAGGGUAAGGAAAAUGAGAAACAGAGAACCUAAGCAAGUUUUAAAUUGGAGAAGUUGACAGAAAAAAGUUGCAAGAACAUCAUAAAAUAUUUUAUCAAAAUUCUUCAAUUUUCAGAUAAACUGAGGUCAAAGAGCAUAAGCGUCUUGAUUAUUUUAACACAGCUCAGUAAAGAC
Molecule: long non-coding RNA, 1232 nt
Filed under: Pan troglodytes (chimpanzee)
Lineage: Eukaryota; Metazoa; Chordata; Mammalia; Primates; Hominidae
Description: lncRNA (ENSPTRG00000053979.1)
Source: RNAcentral